GAGACUGGGGCGCGCGCGGGCUGGGGGGAGGAGGCCCCGGCCAGGCGCAGAAAGCAGCGUCUCCCACGAGGCGCAGCCCGGGGCAGAAGCGGGGCCUGUGGGAGCUUCCGUGAGAAGUCCAGGGAAUCUCCCUUUCGUUCUUUUUGGGGGUCGCAGAGAAGCUGUUCUUCCCUCCUCAAAGAGUCAUACAGCGCAGAGGGAGCAGACUCUAACCGUCCACCAAGGGCUCUGAUUUAAAGUUCUCGGUCCGGCAUUGCGCCACCUCUUUGGGGAUAGGAAAGAAAAAGCACCUGCCCAAAGCUCUGAUUGCAGCAAACCUUACAACAUCACCAGCAGGAUUGAAACAGGUCACCUGUUAAAGCCCUCCUCAGAAAGAGAGCUAGACAGAGGUACAAUUAUUCUAGAGAUGUCUUUUGACACAUUCCUAUGGGGCCAAAGUGCCCCCAUCAUUUCCUUCUCACUUUCCCACCCCAGAGAGGAGGUUGGCCGUCUUCAGCCUAUCACCUCACAUAAGCCUGAUAGGCCUCCGGUGGGAAGUGAUCAUAUCCUCAGGGGAUAAGCUCCUUCCAAGAAAAGCAGGUGACUGACUUCGCCCAGGGCCGCGUUGAUCCUGACAACUCCCAGCACAUUCAGCAAGACCUGCCUGGAGACCAAAGUCCAUGCCCUGUGACUUAGCAUUCAGAACUUCAUCCUAGUUUUCUACCCUUAUUUCUGGACACACAUUUGGAGGAAAUUGACAGAUCGUGUCCAGGGUGGGCCUGUGGGGAGCCAACAAGAGUCUUACAGGGUGGGAAGUCUGUGUAGGGGACUUAAGACUAGUAUGAGAGAAUUGUCUGGCCUCUCUUCCUACACUUGAUCCAUGUAGCCAGAUAUCUUGUAAGUUCGAGGCAUUUGGGACCUCUCUUAAAACCCUCACUUGCUGGGGCGCCUGGGUGGCGCAGUCGGUUAAGCGUCCGACUUCAGCCAGGUCACGAUCUCGCGGUCCGUGAGUUCGAGCCCCGCUUCGGGCUCUGGGCUGAUGGCUCAGAGCCUGGAGCCUGUUUCCAAUUCUGUGUCUCCCUCUCUGCCCCUCGCCCGUUCAUGCUCUGUCUCUCUCUGUCCCAAAAAUAAAUAAACGUUGAGAAAAAAAAAACCCUCACUUGCUGCCUUAUACAAGUAUUACUCUUACUUCUGUAUCCUCUUGCCCUUCUUCCCCACAGAUGUUACUCUCAGGAAGGGCUCAGUGAUCUCUGUACUAAAGUGUAAAUGACUGAAAAUGUUCCCUGGCAUUUUUAA
Felis catus (domestic cat) is the source of this 1275-nucleotide long non-coding RNA. RefSeq lists it as uncharacterized. The record is from RefSeq and is a predicted model, not a curated record. Lineage: Eukaryota; Metazoa; Chordata; Mammalia; Carnivora; Felidae. The transcript has 2 exons.